AUGCUGACUUUGGCAGCACAUAUACUAAAAUUGAAACAAUACAGAGAGGAUUAGGAUGACUCCUGAGCAAGGGUGAAGCCCAAAUUCAUGAAGCAUUCCAUAUUAAA
Otolemur garnettii (small-eared galago) is the source of this 107-nucleotide small nuclear RNA. Lineage: Eukaryota; Metazoa; Chordata; Mammalia; Primates; Galagidae. The record is from Ensembl.